RNAcentral lists this ribosomal RNA (687 nucleotides) under Chryseobacterium ginsenosidimutans. Its description in RNAcentral is "bacterial SSU rRNA". It matches the Rfam family "Bacterial small subunit ribosomal RNA", at positions 87 to 773 of the family's 1533-position model. Lineage: Bacteria; Pseudomonadati; Bacteroidota; Flavobacteriia; Flavobacteriales; Weeksellaceae. The record is from RNAcentral.
UCUUGAGAGCGGCGUACGGGUGCGGAACACGUGUGCAACCUGCCUUUAUCAGGGGGAUAGCCUUUCGAAAGGAAGAUUAAUACCCCAUAAUAUAAUGAGUGGCAUCACUUAUUAUUGAAAACUCCGGUGGAUAGAGAUGGGCACGCGCAAGAUUAGAUAGUUGGUGAGGUAACGGCUCACCAAGUCGAUGAUCUUUAGGGGGCCUGAGAGGGUGAUCCCCCACACUGGUACUGAGACACGGACCAGACUCCUACGGGAGGCAGCAGUGAGGAAUAUUGGACAAUGGGUUAGCGCCUGAUCCAGCCAUCCCGCGUGAAGGACGACGGCCCUAUGGGUUGUAAACUUCUUUUGUAUAGGGAUAAACCUUUCCACGUGUGGAAAGCUGAAGGUACUAUACGAAUAAGCACCGGCUAACUCCGUGCCAGCAGCCGCGGUAAUACGGAGGGUGCAAGCGUUAUCCGGAUUUAUUGGGUUUAAAGGGUCCGUAGGCGGAUCUGUAAGUCAGUGGUGAAAUCUCAUAGCUUAACUAUGAAACUGCCAUUGAUACUGCAGGUCUUGAGUAAGGUAGAAGUAGCUGGAAUAAGUAGUGUAGCGGUGAAAUGCAUAGAUAUUACUUAGAACACCAAUUGCGAAGGCAGGUUACUAUGUCUUAACUGACGCUGAUGGACGAAAGCGUGGGGAGCGAAC